RNAcentral lists this ribosomal RNA (484 nucleotides) under uncultured bacterium. RNAcentral's name for it is "partial 16S ribosomal RNA". It matches the Rfam family "Bacterial small subunit ribosomal RNA", at positions 30 to 507 of the family's 1533-position model. The record is from RNAcentral.
AUUGAACGCUGGCGGCAGGCCUAACACAUGCAAGUCGAGCGGAUGAAGGGAGCUUUCUCCUGUAUUCAGCGGCGGACGGGUGAGUAAUGCCUAGGAAUCUGCCUGGUAGUGGGGGAUAACGUCCGUAAACGGGCGCUAAUACCGCAUCCGUCCUGAGGGAGAAAGUGGGGGAUCUUCGGACCUCACGCUAUCAGAUGAGCCUAGGUCGGAUUAGCUAGUUGGUUGGGUAAAGGCCUACCAAGGCGACGAUCCGUAACUGGUCUGAGAGGAUGAUCAGUCACACUGGAACUGAGACACGGUCCAGACUCCUACGGGAGGCAGCAGUGGGGAAUAUUGGACAAUGGGCGAAAGCCUGAUCCAGCAAUGCCGCGUGUGUGAAGAAGGUCUUCGGAUUGUAAAGCACUUUAAGUUGGGAGGAAGGGCAGUAAGUGAAUACCUUGCUGUUUUGACGUUACCAACAGAAUAAGCACCGGCUAACUUCGUG